UUCUAAAUAAACUUUAAUUCAAAUUUAUUAUUAGAGAUAACUUCAAAAAAAAUUCUUGUAUUUUCGUAGUUUCUCACUUUGCCCCUUCUAUAGUUUAAAAUAUAUUUGUGGUUUUUUUUUUCUCUUUUUCUUAUCAAUUUCAUUAUUUUUUUUUCUUAAAUCAGUGAUAAAGUUAAAAUUAAAGGGUACUAAAGUGAAUAUUUGAUAAAUCCAGAUGGGUAUCUGAAGUUUUUUAUAUAUAAUUUAAUAAAAUAUUAACGAAAAAGUUACCGAAAAGAUAAAAACGAAACCACAUGAAGGAAAAUUAAUAUAUUUUAAACCACAGGGGCGCAAAGUGAGAAACUACGAAACCACAGGGGUGGUAUUUGAAGUUUUUCCUUAUUAUUAUCUUACAAUUAAUAUAUAAAA
This 408-nucleotide long non-coding RNA is filed under the name Ananas comosus (pineapple). RNAcentral's name for it is "long non-coding RNA (ACOM_LNC018476)". Lineage: Eukaryota; Viridiplantae; Streptophyta; Magnoliopsida; Poales; Bromeliaceae. The record is from RNAcentral.